Molecule: long non-coding RNA, 2075 nt
Organism: Seriola aureovittata
Lineage: Eukaryota; Metazoa; Chordata; Actinopteri; Carangiformes; Carangidae
Exons: 4
Source: RefSeq, a predicted model, not a curated record
ACAGUGCUCUGGUGAACAGUAGGAAUGAUUUCCUGUAACUUUCUUUGUGACAGUGGAGCUGAAUGAGUCUGUUAGAGAAGGAGCUCCACUGUCUCUGCAGUGUGUCGUGGAGGGGAUGGGUUGAUUUGUCUAUGAUGAAGAGCGCUCUGUUCAGUGACCUCUUGUCCCCUCACCGACUCAAACAUCUCCAGGUUCUGACCAGUGAUGCUCCCGGCCGUGAGGAUGGAGUUUAUUGAUCCUGCUUUUCCCCAGCAGACCACAGCACAGUAGAUGGCGCUCGCUACCACAGACGGGUACAAAGAUCUCCAGCAUCUUGCCACAUACAUUGAAAGAUCUGGGCUUCCUCAGAAAGAAGAGUCUGCUCAUCUUCAUCUUGAGACGGACAGAGACACUAAAGAGCUCUUCUAACUCUAGUGCAGUUCAUGGAUCUUUCCCGUCUUCCCUCGAGGAGAGCCAAAGUGGAACCAGAACUUCCGGAUUCUGUUCCAGACCCAUUUCCCAUAGGUCCCGGAGCGUGGCGGAUUAAAGAUUAAGGUUCAACAGAAGAGAGAGACCAGUGAAAGAAAUGCUGCGUGAGGGAGCGGACUGAACGGCAGAAGCUCGUGGAACAGACGCCUGUCACGACUUUGUCUGCGCCCACAGUUUUUUGUGUUUCUUUAUUUUCUUCUUUAGACCUUCAUUUUGCCGUCAACUUUUCUCCUGAAACGUGAGCAGGGUGAUCGAUCCUUGUCGUGAGGCUUCACGCACGGCCCCAUCGGUCUGCCCCUCUCUGAACCAUGUCAGCUGUGCAUCUACAGAGCAGUGUUAUAGGAGCAUCUCACUCUCUAAUCAUCUCAGGGAUCACAUGUGUUUCAUUACAUUAGUGUCUGUCUUUUGCUUACCUGUCUUUUUCUUAGAUAAACAUUUUCAUGUUUUUGUUAGAGAAACUCAGUCAGACGAGUUCAGGUACCAAUUCAUUGACUUCUAAUUUACUUUAAACUAUUUAUUUCAGACAAUUUAAAGUGGAUAUUGUUAAAGUAACUAUUUCAUACAAAUGAUAGUGACCCUGCAGUGUUUAGACUUGGUCUCUACUGGUCUUUCUUUUCAGCAGGUUUGCAGGUUUUUAACUUGAAGCUGGACAUUUCAACUAUUUAUGCAAUUUUUAUUUUAGCUAUUUAUUGUCAUUUCAACUAAUGCAGCUUGGUUGGAUGUGUGUCCUGUGCAGUUAGCUUAUUUUAGCUGGCAGUUUUUUGGUUAUUAGGAAUAAUAAAUGUAGAUAUAUAAAUAUAUAGAUCAGCCUCAGAAAAAUUUGUAAUUUGUAAAUCUACAGAUAUACACACAUUUUUCUAUUCUGCUCCACCAUCUUUCCACGUUCUCCCUGCUGACUGCAGAAGUACGCCAUGGGAUACACGUGGCUGGGAAUUACUGGGUCAUGUUCAUUGAUAUUAAGAUAGUGUAAACAUCACUUAAUCAAAGUUUCUAGAAAUAAAAAGUAGAACAUUUCUCUCUAGCUGAAUUUGAGAAUCACCCUAUUGUUAAAUGUCUGUGUUGUGCCUCGCAUUUUCCCAACUUGUGUCAACGGUUCAUUUCAAGUGUUACCCUCAUAAUACUCUUUGCAGAGGCCACUCGUGGUGCCAGCUAAACCUUGGGAUAGAACUGUCUUUUGUUUUAUUCUUAUAUCCCUCUUUCCCAUCUCACGAGGAACUCUCACUCUACUGUACGUCUGCUCUCGUUCUUAUAACUUAAGAAUCUUUUGUUAAUGGUUUUGUGUUUUCUUUUGGCAGUCGUAAAGUUUAGGAUUUAAAACUGUUAAUGACUUCUGGCUGUGCUUGCCCACUAUCAGCUUAUAUUAUCCUCUUUUCUCUUAUGGUCUUAAAGCAGUUUGGUUACACCGCACGUCCAACUAUUGAGAUUAAAUUGGUCUAUCAAAAGCAACACUUGUGGCCAGGUUCAUCCAGUGAUUUGGAUUUAUGUCCAUGGAAGUAAUAUGCAGAUUCUAAGAGUUAUUGUCUCAUUUUGCAUAAAAAUGUAGCACUUGCGCAAAAUCGCUUGAAAGUCUCUUUUCUGCACUUUGCUUUCAUUUCAUGAAAUAAAGA